UACGUAGGGUGCAAGCGUUGUCCGGAAUUAUUGGGCGUAAAGAGCUCGUAGGCGGUUUGUCGCGUCUGCUGUGAAAACUGGAGGCUCAACCUCCAGCCUGCAGUGGGUACGGGCAGACCAGAGUGCGGUAGGGGAGAUUGGAAUUCCUGGUGUAGCGGUGGAAUGCGCAGAUAUCAGGAGGAACACCGAUGGCGAAGGCAGAUCUCUGGGCCGUAACUGACGCUGAGGAGCGAAAGCGUGGGGAGCGAACAGG
Molecule: ribosomal RNA, 253 nt
Filed under: uncultured bacterium
Lineage: Bacteria
Description: partial 16S ribosomal RNA
Rfam family: Bacterial small subunit ribosomal RNA
Source: RNAcentral